RNAcentral lists this unclassified non-coding RNA (640 nucleotides) under Ooceraea biroi (clonal raider ant). RNAcentral's name for it is "uncharacterized LOC105286297, transcript variant X1". Lineage: Eukaryota; Metazoa; Arthropoda; Insecta; Hymenoptera; Formicidae. The record is from RNAcentral.
CGCUGCGGUCAGUCGAUAAUGUGGCGGGAACGUCGCGGAUUUAAACGACGAAAGCGCCGCGCGCCUCCCAGGAUCCCGCGGACGGUUUUCGCGAUUCGAUUGGACGAUUAACGGCAAUUGAGAACUGCGCGACUAUUCCGAUCAAUUCCGUUGAAGCGUAGCCGAAGAUGCUGCCGAAGAUGGACCGCGUCUAAUGCCGUGGGUGCCAGGAGAGUCGAACCAGUGGCAACCAACUGCAAUCGAUGACGGAGCGGAGUGUUCGCUGCAGUAAAUUGAUCUCCCGAAUCUAUGCAAGAAAUACGCAAGAAGAGGCAACCCUCGAGAGGGAGGAAGAGGAGGAGAGACGGAAGGAGUGAGGGUGACAAAAGCAGAUGGGAGGAUAGAGAGCGCAGGAGGAUCGUACUGGUGCAGGAGUUGAGAUGUCUGCAUGACGAAAUCAACAACCUGUAGAUACCAACUCCGGCUGCCGCUAUCACGAUAGCAAUAAGAAAAAGCUCUGUUUAAUUAUUUCACGUAAUGGCUCGUGCCUCUACCAACGUGGAAAGGAACACAUUGCAAUGAAGCAGUCGGCUUUUCGAUUAUAAGUCUUUGGUCGCUUUUCAAAGCAAGAAAAAUGUGAUUUACACACCACCUCUCCGUU